Molecule: long non-coding RNA, 1044 nt
Filed under: Mus musculus (house mouse)
Lineage: Eukaryota; Metazoa; Chordata; Mammalia; Rodentia; Muridae
Description: RIKEN cDNA 4930448C13 gene
Source: RNAcentral
GCACAGCGCAGCGGGGGUGCAGGACAGGGCAGAGUGGGGUGUGGUUGCACAGCAGGAGGAUUCUGUUACAUGUGUCCUCCACCUUCUCAUCUCUACAGUCUCACCUUAAAAUCCAUCUUCAAGAUGAAGCAGCUCAUGUUCUUCAGGAGGUGACACUUGCAGAGACUGUGUUUCGUUGCGUGAAACAUGGCUCAGAGGAGGUAGCUAGGCCUCAGGCCUAUGUCAAAUAUGCAAGGAAACGAAACUCUGUGAUCUCAGAACUGAAGCACCAAAACUAUGAACUACUGAAACAUUUAUUCACCUACAGAAUGACUCAGGUCUGGAUAGAGGAACCACUUAUAACAUCAUUUCUGAGGAGCUGGAAAGGCAUGGAUGGGUUCCCUCCUCUGUCUCAGAUCUGGAAUCCAAUCAGAGACCUGCUGCUUGUUCCUCUUGUGGUGAUUAACCAUUCUACAACUAAACACACUUACGUUGACAGGUUUGUAUUUAAGUUAUUUUGUUUCAUGGCUAGUAUGCUGGCUAGUUUUAUGUCAACUUGACACAAUCUAGAGUCAUCCGAGAGGAGAAAAGUCCAAUUCACAAAGUGUCUCUAUAAUAGUAGGCUGUAGGCAUGUAAGACUGUAGGACAUUUUCUAAUUAGUAAUUUAUUCAGAAGGUUCCCAGUCCAUUGUGAAUGAGGAUAACCCUGGGCUGAUGGACCUGGAUGCUUUAGAAAAGCAGGCUGCAAAGGCCAUGGAGAGCAAACCAGUAAGCAGCACUCCAAACCUGAGCACUAAGGCUCAGGUUCCUGUCUGGCUUUUAAUUCUGCCUUUGCUUCACUCAAUGGACUGUGUUCCAAAGUACCAAAUAACCCCCAAAGGCUUCAGGAUACCCUAAAAGUGUUCUGUAUCAUUGAGAAAGCCAUUGAUUUUGAACUACUGACAGGAUUUUAGAAAGAACUACUAAAAUCUUCAAAAAAAUGUAUAACUCAGUUUCAGACUUUAAGUUCAGUAGUCAGAUUAAAUAGAAUACUUAAACAGAAAGUACUAAAGUAAAAAAACCAAA